This 265-nucleotide ribosomal RNA is filed under the name uncultured bacterium. Its description in RNAcentral is "partial 16S ribosomal RNA". It matches the Rfam family "Bacterial small subunit ribosomal RNA", at positions 337 to 599 of the family's 1533-position model. The record is from RNAcentral.
UCCUACGGGGGGCAGCAGUGAGGAAUAUUGGUCAAUGGCCGAGAGGCUGAACCAGCCAAGUCGCGUGAGGGAAGACGGCCCUACGGGUUGUAAACCUCUUUUGUCGGGGAGCAAAGCGAGUCACGUGUGACUCAUUGAGAGUACCCGAAGAAAAAGCAUCGGCUAACUCCGUGCCAGCAGCCGCGGUAAUACGGAGGAUGCGAGCGUUAUCCGGAUUUAUUGGGCGUAAAGCGAGUGCAGGCGGUUCAAUAAGUCUGAUGUGAAA